GGGCCCGCACAAGCGGUGGAGUAUGUGGUUUAAUUCGAUGCAACGCGCAGAACCUUACCAUCCCUUGACUUCCCUGUCGCGGGCUCAGAGAUGAGCCUUUCAGUUCGGCUGGACAGGUGACAGGUGCUGCAUGGCUGUCGUCAGCUCGUGUCGUGAGAUGUUCGGUUAAGUCCGGCAACGAGCGCAACCCCUGUCUUUAGUUGCCAUCAUUCAGUUGGGAACUCUAAAGAGACUGCGUGAUAGCGGAGGAAGGUGGGACGACGUCAAGUCCUCAUGGCCUUACGGGGAUGGGCUACACACGUGCUACAAUUGGCAGUGACAAUGGGU
Molecule: ribosomal RNA, 327 nt
Filed under: uncultured bacterium
Lineage: Bacteria
Description: bacterial SSU rRNA
Rfam family: Bacterial small subunit ribosomal RNA
Source: RNAcentral